Molecule: long non-coding RNA, 1425 nt
Filed under: Marmota monax (woodchuck)
Lineage: Eukaryota; Metazoa; Chordata; Mammalia; Rodentia; Sciuridae
Source: RNAcentral
UGACAUCUUGGCAGGUCACACCCAUCUCAUUGAUGGGUGCUGUUGCUGUGUGGGUCCUGGCAGAGCGGGAAGAGAUUCACAUUGUCCCUGGGCAUUGACCAGAGGAAAUGUCCACUGGCCAUUCCCAGACACCAGAUGUCCCUAUCCAUGAGGCUUCCAUGCUCGGUGACCCACAUGCAACCCAUGGCUCAUGGCACAAGUUCUCCGGGGAAUUUUCUCGAUAGUGCCAUUAUGACUACAUCUUCUCUCCCUCUCCAAAUAUUCCACUCUGGGAGGGUUAAUCCACAAAGGUGUUUGUGAAGUGUGAGUGAAGCAUGAUUAGCUGCAAAACUGAAUUUUGUAUCCAUUAGCCUGUGGUAUGCUGCGUGGACUGUCUCUAGUCUAGCGAGGAGGUCCACGGAACAGGGUAGAGGAGAGUGUGGCUGCAGAGUCACUAAUCAAGACCUCCGGAGACCAAGCAGGAAGCAGGUCUGAUUUUAUUGCGUAGUUACCAUGUAUAUAUACUCAGGCGGGAGCUAAGCAGAUUACAGGCAGCCACCAAUGCAAUUUCUGCUAACUGUCCUUGCAGUGACCACUCAAGGAAUGGGCCAUGGAGCAAACGCAGGGACUGCAACACCUGGCCUCACACCCAGGGCUGUGGCUUCGGGGUAAGUGGCCUGCCACUCAUGCUCUUAGCACGAGGGGAGUGGCCUGCUACUCAGACGCCCUUAAUGUGUGCUAUGUAUGUAGUACUCCAUGCACUUGUUCCUCACAGUAUACAGUGUUCUUCUCCAGAUCUGUGAUGGCAAAGGGUUUUAGUCACUCGAUUUGAUGGCCUCGUCUCUGUGGUGUCAAUCACCUACCUGCCUCUAGAACAGACACCUCCUGGAACUGAAAGCAUCUCUGAUCCACUAAUGGCAUCUUCCUAUGAAGUUGGGUGCAGAUUUCCAUAAAGAUAUGAUCAAAUGAUUGUAUUUUAUACUGUGAAUAGAAAUAAACCUGAGCAUUGGAUAAAGAACAAACCAUAGGUACAAAUGGAGUUUUGACCCACAACCUGCAAGCAACUUGCCUAAGAAAGCAAGCCCUCAUCUACAACAACGUAGGCAGCCACUCUGCUCAUAAGUCAGACCUGCAGGAAGCCAGGUGGCUAUCUCUGUGGCAAUCUUAGAAGCUAAACAAGUGCUAUAAGCCUUUGGCCAGGAUUUAACUGACAGUUUUCCUAAUCUUUGCCCCUGCUUUCCAUUUAGGACCAACUUAGAGACAGCCAAAUAUGAAUCUCUAAUCAAUCAAAUAGGGUGUCCCCAUUCCUAAUCACCAGCCUGUGCCUUCCUCAGGCCAAUAGCCUCCAACCAGGGCACACCUGACUGUUCUUGCUCCUCAGCUUGCUUUUGAGGUUCUGACCAAAUGCAAGUGGAGGUGCUUGCUCCUUUCCUACAGCAAGCUCAG